Molecule: ribosomal RNA, 465 nt
Filed under: Vreelandella stevensii
Lineage: Bacteria; Pseudomonadati; Pseudomonadota; Gammaproteobacteria; Oceanospirillales; Halomonadaceae
Description: partial 16S ribosomal RNA
Rfam family: Bacterial small subunit ribosomal RNA
Source: RNAcentral
CCUACGGGAGGCAGCAGUGGGGAAUAUUGGACAAUGGGGGCAACCCUGAUCCAGCCAUGCCGCGUGUGUGAAGAAGGCCCUCGGGUUGUAAAGCACUUUCAGUGAGGAAGAACGCCUGGUGGUUAAUACCCAUCAGGAAAGACAUCACUCACAGAAGAAGCACCGGCUAACUCCGUGCCAGCAGCCGCGGUAAUACGGAGGGUGCGAGCGUUAAUCGGAAUUACUGGGCGUAAAGCGCGCGUAGGUGGCUUGAUAAGCCGGUUGUGAAAGCCCCGGGCUCAACCUGGGAACGGCAUCCGGAACUGUCAAGCUAGAGUGCAGGAGAGGAAGGUAGAAUUCCCGGUGUAGCGGUGAAAUGCGUAGAGAUCGGGAGGAAUACCAGUGGCGAAGGGGGCCUUCUGGACUGACACUGACACUGAGGUGCGAAAGCGUGGGUAGCAAACAGGAUUAGAUACCCUUGUAGUC